Molecule: transfer RNA, 72 nt
Filed under: Camelus bactrianus (Bactrian camel)
Lineage: Eukaryota; Metazoa; Chordata; Mammalia; Artiodactyla; Camelidae
Also listed under: 1 other name
Rfam family: tRNA
About the family: Transfer RNA (tRNA) molecules are approximately 80 nucleotides in length. Their secondary structure includes four short double-helical elements and three loops (D, anti-codon, and T loops). Further hydrogen bonds mediate the characteristic L-shaped molecular structure. tRNAs have two regions of fundamental functional importance: the anti-codon, which is responsible for specific mRNA codon recognition, and the 3' end, to which the tRNAs corresponding amino acid is attached (by aminoacyl-tRNA synthetases). tRNAs cope with the degeneracy of the genetic code in two manners: having more than one tRNA (with a specific anti-codon) for a particular amino acid; and 'wobble' base-pairing, i.e. permitting non-standard base-pairing at the 3rd anti-codon position.
Source: Rfam by way of RNAcentral
GAGGGUAUAGUUCAGUGGUAGAGCACAUGCUUAGCAUUUAGGAGGUCUUGGGUUCAAUCCCCAGUACCUCCU